This 2312-nucleotide long non-coding RNA is filed under the name Sus scrofa (pig). RNAcentral describes it as "lncRNA (ENSSSCG00035040299.1)". The record is from RNAcentral. Lineage: Eukaryota; Metazoa; Chordata; Mammalia; Artiodactyla; Suidae.
GACUGAACCUGUGGCCUACGACGUUCCUAGGCUAGGGGGUCAAAUUGAAGCUGCAGCUGUUGGCCUACACCACAGCCACAGCACUAUCAGAUCUGAGCCAUGUCUGCGACCUAUGCCACAGCUCACAACAACAUUGGAUCCUUAACCCACUGAGAGGGGGCAGGGAUUGAACCCGAAUCCUCAUCCCAGAGCAGGGACCAUGCUUGUCUUGUUACCAUGACAGCCCCUCCAUGGUAGCAGAGUGCCUGUCAGUCAGUGAUUACUGAAUGAGCACGUAGCUGAGACCCCAGGAAUGUUUCUCCAGGGUCUGAGCUCUCCCCCUGCUGACUGCUCACUGUCUCUCCAGGGCCUCCAGCCCCCUCAUGGGGAGACAAACAGGCCAGCAAACACUGGCCAGAGAAAGUGAUGCAAGCUACUCUCUUCUGACCCAUGGGUCAAAGAUGCUGCCUUGGAAGCUUAGACGGGAAGGAACUCACAGUGCUUGGCUUUGGUCCCUGCUGUGAUGCUGCUGAAGCAGGGCGUACACCUCACCGACCCUGUGCUGCCAGGAACUUCUGCACUGGUUCAAGAGAGGAAGAACUUCUACAAUAGUAAGAUCAGAAAAAAGAGAAGAAAGAAUGAACCAACGCAAGACACAGGGACGGGGCCGGGUAGCAGGAUGCAGAGAGGAAAGGCAUUUGAUCAUCUCUGACUAGCUUUGCCUCUGCCAUCGUUCUUCUGCGUAGCUCUUGGAUUCAGUAUCUCAAUGUCUCAGGCUUCAGUUUCUUUGUCUGCAAAAUGGGACAUAAACUUUCUACUUAAAUCUUUCUAAAUAUGUUUUGCUCCAAUUCCAUUAAGCUUGAGGGCCGCGCUACAGACUUGAAAGCAAAGUAUUCAAAUGUGCUUGAAAAAAAGGAAUGGCGAAUGCCCCUUAUUGAUAAGCACUUAUGCAUCACCUAUGAUGUGUGAGGCAUGGUGCCAGGCACACAGAGGCUGGAAAGGUACUGCCCCUGCCCUCAAGGACUCAUUGUUUCACAGCUGUAAAUUCUAAAAGGAAGACACUGACGGCAGAGGUUCCCGUGUGACUUGAACAUCCUCUCCACAAACUGCCAGGGAGCAAGGCAGUGAAAGUCACUCUGGAGCCUCAGCUGGAAAUUUUACAGAGCAAAUACCCCGAUAAAGAAGUUUGGGAUACACCGUAAGGCAGAUGAACUUUUUUUGCCCUUUCAUGAAAAGGAUUUUAAUUCCACAGAAAAUGUAAUAAUGAUAUAAUGGGUGACAAUUAUGAGCAUUAAGAUCUGUCACUUGGAGAGCGAUAGAGCCCUGAAAGCAUCUGAUGUGCACUUGGCUGAGAAGUGCAAGGGCAGGAAUUCGGCAGGGAAGUGCAAGGGCAGGGAGUCGCAGGGCAGGGCAGUCUGUCUGGAAAGAUAGGGCCCCCCACUGGACACCACGAGGUGCUGUGCCAUGGGUCUACUAGGCAAGAAAAUCAAGUCAAUCAUCUCCAACUACAAAAUGACAGAAUAAGCCAGUAAGAUUAUUGAAAAGAGGAGACCAACCCAUGGAAGGAGAAAAUGAGUUUGGUGUCAGAAGGAUAUGGGCUUUGAUCUGAUAUUAAUAAUCAGUAGGUAUGUCCUUCAGUAAGGUAGGCAACCUUUUAGCACUGUGUUUGUUCCUAUAAAUGGAAAUAUCAAUACCUACCCACAUCACAAGGUUAUCAACAGGAUAUUCUGGGGUUCAAUCAAGGUACAAACUCAGUAAGCAGUUUUAUAUAUACAUUUGAUUGUCUCUGAUAUAUAGAUGCCCGUGGAGGCCGGUGGGUCCAAAAUCUUCAGGGUAGCCUGGCCAGCUGAAGAUCCAGGGAGGAUUUGUAGUUUGACUUCAAAGACCCUCUGCUGGCAGAAAUGCCCCCUUCUUCUGGGGAGGUCAGUCUUCCAUUAAGGCCUUCAACUGACUGCAUGAGGCCCAUUCACAUUUUGAGGGGAAAUCUGUCUUAUUACUGAUUUAACUGUUACUCUCAUCUGAAAAAUACCUACACAGAAACAUCUAGAAUACUGUUUGGCUACAUAUCUUGGUACCAUGGUCUAGUCAAGGUAACACAUAAAAUUAACCAUCACCAACUCCCAGGUACAUUGAAAUUUUUUUCAUUAUGAUAUAUCCUCAAUCUUCAGUAAUGCUUUUUGCCUUAAAAUAUAAUAUGUCUGAUAUAAGUGAUGACAUGAAAGCUUUCCUUUUAUACGUUUGCCUUAGUCCAUUAAAGGCCUCUAUAAAAUAUCACAGACUGAUGACUUAAAAAUAGCAGAAAUUUACUGCUCACAGUUCUGGAGGCUGAAGUC